UGUUCCUUACUGAGACCUAGACAACCAGGUGAGGGGAGUUCCUUACUGAGACCUAGACAACCAGGUGAGGGGAGUUCCUUACUGAGACCUAGACAACCAGGUGAGGGGAGUUCCUUACUGAGACCUAGACAACCAGGUGAGGGGAGUUCCUUACUGAGACCUAGACAACCAGGUGAGGGGAGUUCCUUACUGAGACCUAGACAACCAGGUGAGGGGAGUUCCUUACUGAGACCUAGACAACCAGGUGAGGGGAGUUCCUUACUGAGACCUAGACAACCAGGUGAGGGGAGUUCCUUACUGAGACCUAGACAACCAGGUGAGGGGAGUUCCUUACUGAGACCUAGACAACCAGGUGAGUGGAGUUCCUUACUGAGACCUAGACAACCAGGUGAGGGGAGUUCCUUACUGAGACCUAGACAACCAGGUGAGGGGAGUUCCUUACUGAGACCUAGACAACCAGGUGAGGGGAGUUCCUUACUGAGACCUAGACAACCAGGUGAGGGGAGUUCCUUACUGAGACCUAGACAACCAGGUGAGGGGAGUUCCUUACUGAGACCUAGACAACCAGGUGAGGGGAGUUCCUUACUGAGACCUAGACAACCAGGUGAGGGGAGUUCCUUACUGAGACCUAGACAACCAGGUGAGUGGAGUUCCUUACUGAGACCUAGACAACCAGGUGAGGGGAGUUCCUUACUGAGACCUAGACAACCAGGUGAGGGGAGUUCCUUACUGAGACCUAGACAACCAGGU
Oncorhynchus keta (chum salmon) is the source of this 750-nucleotide long non-coding RNA. RefSeq lists it as uncharacterized. The transcript is spliced from 7 exons. The record is from RefSeq and is a predicted model, not a curated record. Lineage: Eukaryota; Metazoa; Chordata; Actinopteri; Salmoniformes; Salmonidae.